CCCUUAGAUGUCCUGGGCUGCACGCGCGCUACACUGAUGUGUCCAGUAAGCACCUAACCUCUUCCGAAAGGAACGGGUAACCUUUGCAAAGCACAUCGUGAUGGGGAUAGAUUAUUGCAAUUAUUGGUCUUCAACGAGGAAUUCCUAGUAGACGUAGUUCAUCAGACUGCAUCGAUUACGUCCCUGCCCUUUGUACACACCGCCCGUCGCUCCUACCGAUUGAAUGCUCAGGUGAGCCAUUCGGACUUUCAUCAUGCUGGUUUCCAGUUUUGAUGAAGGAAAGUCUUGCGAACCUUAUCAUUUAGAGGAAGGAGAAGUCGUAACA
This 325-nucleotide ribosomal RNA is filed under the name uncultured eukaryote. Its description in RNAcentral is "partial 18S ribosomal RNA". It matches the Rfam family "Eukaryotic small subunit ribosomal RNA", at positions 1470 to 1796 of the family's 1831-position model. The record is from RNAcentral.